ACGCUCAAAUUUGAAAUCUGGCCUCGGCCCGAGUUGUAAUUUGCAGAGGAUGCUUUUGGUGCGGUGCCUUCCGAGUUCCCUGGAACGGGACGCCACAGAGGGUGAGAGCCCCGUAUGGUCGGACACCAAUCCUGUGUAAAGCUCCUUCGACGAGUCGAGUAGUUUGGGAAUGCUGCUCUAAAUGGGAGGUAAAUCUCUUCUAAAGCUAAAUACUGGCCAGAGACCGAUAGCGCACAAGUAGAGUGAUCGAAAGAUGAAAAGCACCUUGAAAAGGGGGUUAAACAGUACGUGAAAUUGUUGAAAGGGAAGCACUUGUGACCAGACUUGGGCCGGGCGGCUCAUCAGGGGUUCUCCCCUGUGCAUUCCGCCCGGUACAGGCCAGCAUCGGUUCUUACCGGGGGAUAAGAACGGCAGGAACGUGGCUCCCUCUCGGGGGAGUGUUAUAGCCUGCCGUACGAUACCCUGGCGGGGACCGAGGUUCGCGCUUCCGCAAGGAUGCUGGCGUAAUGGUUACUAGUGACCCGUCUUGAAACACGGACCAAGGAGUCGUCCAUUAGAGCGAGCGUUUGGGUGUAAAACCCGCACGCGUAAUGAAAGUGAAAUUAGGUGAGAGCUUCGGCGCAUCAUCGACCGAUCCUGAUGUUCUCGGAUGGAUUUGAGUAAGAGUUUUAACGGACGGACCCGAAAGACAGUGAACUAUGCUUGUAUAGGGUGAAGCCAGAGGAAACUCUGGUGGAGGCUCGCAGCGGUUCUGACGUGCAAAUCGAUCGUCAAAUAUGAGCAUG
Molecule: ribosomal RNA, 785 nt
Filed under: Tubakia seoraksanensis
Lineage: Eukaryota; Fungi; Ascomycota; Sordariomycetes; Diaporthales; Tubakiaceae
Description: eukaryotic LSU rRNA
Rfam family: Eukaryotic large subunit ribosomal RNA
Source: RNAcentral